This 741-nucleotide long non-coding RNA is filed under the name Mytilus galloprovincialis (Mediterranean mussel). Lineage: Eukaryota; Metazoa; Mollusca; Bivalvia; Mytilida; Mytilidae. The record is from RNAcentral.
CGUCCCUUGAAUUACACACUGAAAAGUCACUUUAACUAUCAUGAUUAAAUGUUAUGAUGAAUAUCUGAGGGUGGUAAAGGGUUAAUUUCGUGCAACAUUUUUGGCCUUUUUAUGUCACCUGUUUUCAUGUUUUAAUGUUUCAUCUGUGUUAGGCUUGAGGUGCAUGCUUCAUGUUUCCCUUUAUUUGUUUUCCGUGUUUUGUGUCGGUAAUCUCAAUUUCUCCUGCUUGUCCCACAUUUAAUUAAAAAGUAAACUGGGACUUAAUUCAAAAGUCAGUCCAGAGAUUGUUUUAAAUCAUAUCUUCCCAGGAUAUAAAUUGCUAUCAAAUUAUGAAUAAUUAUAUAUUUUUUUUUAAAAUUGACUAUUGGACACUAAAAGGUGACCACAGAGUCUUUGUGUCCAUUAUAAUGACUGCAGGAUCUCCAAAAACUGCUAAGUAAUAAAUUCUAGUACUUUUUUCCCUAAUAUUUACAGUUUUAUCUCUCAUGCUUUGUUUUUCCCCGAUUUUUAUUUUCCGUGCUACGAUUUUUUUUGAUUUUUUUUUCACAUAUUUCUGUAUUUAGAACCCCCUUUACCUGACAAAUUAGUGGUUGUAACUAUAUAGAUAUCAAAUAAACUUCACAUUAUCAAUGAUCCAUGACAAUGAGGUCAAUGUCAGAUGAACCCCAAUAGACAUACUUGUACACCAUACAAAACUAUUGAUUAGAGUAUUUGAGAAACGUACUUUGACAUGAAAAGCUA